RNAcentral lists this ribosomal RNA (253 nucleotides) under uncultured bacterium. Its description in RNAcentral is "partial 16S ribosomal RNA". It matches the Rfam family "Bacterial small subunit ribosomal RNA", at positions 524 to 776 of the family's 1533-position model. The record is from RNAcentral.
UACGUAGGGUGCAAGCGUUGUCCGGAAUUAUUGGGCGUAAAGAGCUCGUAGGCGGUCUGUCGCGUCGGCUGUGAAAACCCGGAGCUCAACUCCGGGCCUGCAGUCGAUACGGGCAGACUGGAGUUCGGCAGGGGAGACUGGAAUUCCUGGUGUAGCGGUGAAAUGCGCAGAUAUCAGGAGGAACACCGAUGGCGAAGGCAGGUCUCUGGGCCACUACUGACGCUGAGAAGCGAAAGCGUGGGGAGCGAACAGG